AGCUCCAAUAGCGUAUAUUAAAGUUGUUGCAGUUAAAAAGCUCGUAGUUGAAAUUCUGGUUGCUAAGGCUUCUAGUCUUCGGACGGAAGUACUUACAGCCAUCCGCUUGUAAAUAUAUGUCCGCUCUUAACUGGGCGGCUAUAUGAGCAAGCAUUUUACCUUGAGAAAAACAGAGUGUUCCAGGCAGGCUUGUCCGGAAUGCAUUAGCAUGGAAUAAUAGAAUAUGACUGAGGUCUAUUUAUUGGUUUAAGGCCACAGUAAUGAUUAAUAGGAACAGUCGGGGGCAUUAGUACUUGACAGUCAGAGGUGAAAUUCUUGGAUUUGUCAAAGACUAACAGAUGCGAAAGCGUUUGUCAAGGAUGUUUUCA
RNAcentral lists this ribosomal RNA (368 nucleotides) under fish environmental sample. RNAcentral's name for it is "SSU rRNA". It matches the Rfam family "Eukaryotic small subunit ribosomal RNA", at positions 587 to 972 of the family's 1831-position model. The record is from RNAcentral. Lineage: Eukaryota; Metazoa; Chordata.